Molecule: long non-coding RNA, 783 nt
Filed under: Triticum aestivum (bread wheat)
Lineage: Eukaryota; Viridiplantae; Streptophyta; Magnoliopsida; Poales; Poaceae
Description: long non-coding RNA (TAES_LNC007987)
Source: RNAcentral
UCAGUUCGAAAUUGCUGCGGAUGGAGGACGUGAAGAAGAGCAGCAGCAGCAGCGAUCUGCAGUAGGAGAGCGUGGAGAGGAGCAGCAGAGAGGAAGACUAGGACAGUCACACGUACAAAUCUUCUUGUCCGAAAUUUUACAUGGACAUAAAAGCAAAAAUAGCAAAUAACACUAAUGAAUUCCUCACUUCAACUAAGGUCCACAUUUUCAGAUCAGUGACUCUUUCAUUAUCCAUCGAACCUGCAUGCGGAAGCAAUAUAGUAAUAAGUUUCAUGUGCGAAAUCUAGACAUCAGAUUGUACACCAUUUCCUAACAAUGGUAAACUUGACAUCCAACAUCACAGAAUGACAAUAAAUUUGUGAACACAUAGUACAGCUAGGUAAUAUCUGUGAAGACAUAGUGCAUCACAAGCAGUAAAUAGUAUAACUAGCUUUCACCUCUUGUACGACAGCCGCUAGCAAGUUCAAAUAGUCCAAUUCAAUUGUUGAUCGAUUGAAUUUUCAUCAUGAUACAACACCAGCUGCAGCUGCCAAGGUUCAGCUAGUCCCAAAGUUCAAGGAUUUAUUUUUCUUUCUUGGUUGACUAAAACCGGCAAGGAGCUAAGCUGAGAGGAACACAACAAACACUCAAGCCAAGUAAAAUAAAGCAUUGAUCUUCCAGGAAACCAAGAGGCUAAACAGAGAGGCAUUCACAUGUUAAGGGAAAGAAAUGGAAGUCAACAAUAAGUUUAAUCAAGGUGCAUCUUCAGAGUGACACCUUUGUGCAUUUUCAAACUAUUGUCCA